This 252-nucleotide ribosomal RNA is filed under the name uncultured bacterium. RNAcentral describes it as "partial 16S ribosomal RNA". It matches the Rfam family "Bacterial small subunit ribosomal RNA", at positions 524 to 776 of the family's 1533-position model. The record is from RNAcentral.
UACGUAGGGGGCAAGCGUUGUCCGGAAUUAUUGGGCGUAAAGCGCGCGCAGGCGGUUCUUUAAGUCUGGUGUUUAAACCUGGGGCUCAACUUCAGGUCGCACUGGAAACUGGGGGACUUGAGUGCAGAAGAGGAGAGUGGAAUUCCACGUGUAGCGGUGAAAUGCGUAGAUAUGUGGAGGAACACCAGUGGCGAAGGCGACUCUCUGGGCUGUAACUGACGCUGAGGCGCGAAAGCGUGGGGAGCAAACAGG